This 55-nucleotide small RNA is filed under the name Arabidopsis thaliana (thale cress). RNAcentral describes it as "ATSL208530". The record is from RNAcentral. Lineage: Eukaryota; Viridiplantae; Streptophyta; Magnoliopsida; Brassicales; Brassicaceae.
UGACCUACUCUUGCAGCUGAGGUUUCACCAACUUCAGCUGAUUGUCUUUGUACCA